CCAUGCAGUCGAACGGCAGCACGGGCUUCGGCCUGGUGGCGAGUGGCGAACGGGUGAGUAAUAUAUCGGAACGUACCCAAGAGUGGGGGAUAACGUAGCGAAAGUUACGCUAAUACCGCAUACGAUCUAUGGAUGAAAGCAGGGGACCGCAAGGCCUUGUGCUCCUGGAGCGGCCGAUAUCUGAUUAGCUAGUAGGUAGGGUAAUGGCCUACCUAGGCGACGAUCAGUAGCUGGUCUGAGAGGACGACCAGCCACACUGGAACUGAGACACGGUCCAGACUCCUACGGGAGGCAGCAGUGGGGAAUUUUGGACAAUGGGCGCAAGCCUGAUCCAGCAAUGCCGCGUGAGUGAAGAAGGCCUUCGGGUUGUAAAGCUCUUUUGUCAGGGAAGAAACGGCAGGGGCUAAUAUCCUUUGCUAAUGACGGUACCUGAAGAAUAAGCACCGGCUAACUACGUGCCAGCAGCCGCGGUAAUACGUAGGGUGCAAGCGUUAAUCGGAAUUACUGGGCGUAAAGCGUGCGCAGGCGGUUUUGUAAGUCUGUCGUGAAAGCCCCGGGCUCAACCUGGGAAUUGCGAUGGAGACUGCAAGGCUUGAAUCUGGCAGAGGGGGGUAGAAUUCCACGUGUAGCAGUGAAAUGCGUAGAGAUGUGGAGGAACACCGAUGGCGAAGGCAGCCCCCUGGGUCAAGAUUGACGCUCAUGCACGAAAGCGUGGGGAGCAAACAGGAUUAGAUACCCUGGUAGUCCACGCCCUAAACGAUGUCUACUAGUUGUCG
This 776-nucleotide ribosomal RNA is filed under the name Massilia suwonensis. Its description in RNAcentral is "bacterial SSU rRNA". It matches the Rfam family "Bacterial small subunit ribosomal RNA", at positions 53 to 825 of the family's 1533-position model. Lineage: Bacteria; Pseudomonadati; Pseudomonadota; Betaproteobacteria; Burkholderiales; Oxalobacteraceae. The record is from RNAcentral.